RNAcentral lists this ribosomal RNA (503 nucleotides) under uncultured bacterium. Its description in RNAcentral is "bacterial SSU rRNA". It matches the Rfam family "Bacterial small subunit ribosomal RNA", at positions 20 to 507 of the family's 1533-position model. The record is from RNAcentral.
UGGCUCAGGACGAACGCUGGCGCGUGCCUAACACAUGCAAGUCGAACGAAGCUUGACGAACGAUUCUUCGGAUGAAUUCUGAUAUGACCGAGUGGCAAACGGGUGAGUAACGCGUAGGCAACCUGCCGUUGAGAUGGGGACAACAUCCCGAAAGGGGUGCUAAUACCGAAUGUUGUGGUGAAUCCGCAUGGAUUUACUACUAAAGAUGACCUCUAUUUAUAAGUUAUCGCUCAACGAUGGGCCUGCGUCUGAUUAGCUAGUUGGCGGGGUAACGGCCCACCAAGGCGACGAUCAGUAGCCGGACUGAGAGGUUGAACGGCCACAUUGGGACUGAGAUACGGCCCAGACUCCUACGGGAGGCAGCAGUGGGGAAUAUUGGGCAAUGGGCGCAAGCCUGACCCAGCAACGCCGCGUGAAGGAAGAAGGCUUUCGGGUUGUAAACUUCUUUUAAGGGGGAACAGUAGAAGAGGGUACCCCUUGAAUAAGCCACGGCUAACUACGUG